AACGAACGCUGGCGGCGUGUCUUAAGCAUGCAAGUCGGACGGCAAGGCGGGGCAACCCGCCCUAGAGUGGCGGACUGGUGAGUAACACGUGGGUGAUCUACCCUUGGUUUGGGAUAGCUCGUGGAAACACGGGGUAAUACCGAAUACGUUCUUACGGCUACGGCUGUAAGAGGAAAGGCGCUAAGGCGCCGACCGAGGAUGAGCCCGCGUCCCAUUAGCUAGUUGGUGAGGUAAUGGCCCACCAAGGCGAUGAUGGGUAGGCGGCCUGAGAGGGUGUACGCCCACAUUGGGACUGAGAUACGGCCCAAACUCCUACGGGAGGCAGCAGCUAAGAAUAUUCCGCAAUGGACGAAAGUCUGACGGAGCGACGCCGCGUGGAUGAAGAAGGCCGAAAGGUUGU
RNAcentral lists this ribosomal RNA (400 nucleotides) under uncultured bacterium. Its description in RNAcentral is "bacterial SSU rRNA". It matches the Rfam family "Bacterial small subunit ribosomal RNA", at positions 29 to 426 of the family's 1533-position model. The record is from RNAcentral.